CAUUAAAACAUUGCCUGUGCUUCUGCAGCAGCACAGGGAAAGAAGAGCUCACUUGGGAAGCCACCACAUUUCCUGCCUUGUGUGAGCUCUUGGAGGGUGGUGGUGCAGCAGUGUCUCUUCCAGGACAAAACUGGAUUUGGAGAGGACUGCAAACCUCAGAGCGGUGUUGAAGCUGCAGCUUUUCUGUUUCAUUCUGCAUGAGUUUCAGAAGCAGCCUUCUACCUAAUUCUGCCCUCUGGACUUUUGUCCCUUCCCUGUGCCCUUAUCAGGGUAGGAGGCAGGAGCAGGCAGGGCUGUGAGGCUCAGCCUGCAGCCAAACCAUCCUGCCCUUCUCAGAUAACAUUGUGCCCAGGGGAAACGACAUCUAAGAGUUACAGAGAGACCAGAAUGACAACAGCAUCGUUAAAGCCUUUGUCAUUCGUGAUGAAUCCUUGCCAGAAGUCUUCCUCAGCUUCAGAGGAUGAAGAUCUGUUUUUAAAGAGGAACAUCAGCUGAGCUAAACCCAGAUGAAAUUCACAGCACUACACUGCAUUCAUCAGCACAAAGAGCCAGAAAGAUGCUGUGUACCACACAGGGGAAAAAGUACAGCAGCAUCAGACCUCACAGCUUCAGGGCUUCUUUUGGAGCUAAGCAAACUUCCAGCAAUUCUCCAGGCAGGGAUUUAUUUCUGUUGUGCUCUCGCUUUCCAGACACAGCACAGCUACUCCUGGGGCUGGGCCGAGCACCCCUUUGGGAGCAGCAGGGUUACAGGGUGAUCUCUCCUGUGGAACACUUGGUGCCCCCUUGAGAAGUGUGAUCCAAACAAGAAAACAACUUGCUGGGAGUCUUCCAACCAAAGCGGUGUUCUAGAACUCAUUUAUUUGUGUGAGUGAUCUAAUGAAAGUCAAAGGAAAUUCAGAAUAAUAUUUCUUCCACCAGAGGGUCUUUUUUUAGCAUCUUUGAGAACUGUGCAGUAUGACAAGAGGUAGGAGAGAAAGGGAACAUGCUGGACUGAGUAAUGGCAAUUGUGAUGAACAUAUUUCAGCUACCUUAAAUAUACAACUCACUGUAAAAGAAAUAAACAGCCAAUCUGAGGAACUUUUUUUUUUUAACAUCCUCCGGAGUGAUUAUUUUUGAAAUAUGUGCUUGUUGUGUUCCACUUCUAUAAAACAUGUACAUAGGCAGGUUUCUGAGCAUCACAUCCUUCAACUCCAGCACAGGAGGUUGUGCUGAGGGAGUGUUUUUUGGUUUGGGAAGGGAGGAGUAGGGUGUGGGUUAUUUUUAGAGUUUUGUUCCUUUUUUUCUGAACAGGGAAAUGGAAUGGUAUUGAAGAAAAUGAAAUUUUUAAAAAAAAGGAAACUGGAAUGGCAUUGAAAGCAGGAGUACACCCUUUCCCUUCCACGGCAGGAGGGAAGCCAGCAGACCCCCUGUUACCCCAAUACACUUACUCAAAGCACUGAGAGCUGUGUAAAC
Molecule: long non-coding RNA, 1452 nt
Organism: Serinus canaria (Common canary)
Lineage: Eukaryota; Metazoa; Chordata; Aves; Passeriformes; Fringillidae
Exons: 3
Source: RefSeq, a predicted model, not a curated record